UAUCUCUCCAUCCAAUUGUCUUAUUGUCUCUUCCCAGGUCAUAUACAACCGUCACCUAGGGAACCAACGCCGAGUACAAUAUGUACUACACAACCUAGGUAAAUGUAGUUGACAAGGUGAGUGUUAUCCGAUGUUGUUAUCCGAUCAAGCCGGUCCACGACUCGAUUUUGGUAGACGUCAACAUUCGUUCGGGGCUCAACUAUAACCUCCGUUACUAUACUCUCAAGAGAUGUGGGACCUACCAUCGUCUGUAGGGACCUUGUUGACCACAGCCGAAACCGGUUCUCGAACAUCAAAUACUUUCUGGUCUCGGUUCCAGGCCGUAGGUGGCCUACCAUAAACACGACAAGGUCGUUGAUCCUUCCCCCUGCCAAAAACGUGGCCUGUACGCCGUCUUAAAGUCGAGGUCCUUGAAGCGUGCGGUCAUGGUGGAAUUGUAACGGCGACGGUGUAUAAAGUCGACAGUUUCCCUUCCACCCAGCCCACCUUCUUCCAAAUCCGGCCUUUCAAGAGUUCCCAUCAUCUCUGAUAUAUGAUGUCUCAUGUCUGGUAAUAUACUGACAUGACACCACAACGUAGUGUUGUAUCCUACGAGACAUAGUGGGUUAUACGUCCCAUACAUAGAAGUCCUGUAAUAGAUCUUUUUGAAACAUAGAAGUCGAUACUACUCGAAUUACCUUAUAUGCAGCAAAUAAUAAAUUAUCAGUAUUUUUC
RNAcentral lists this ribosomal RNA (714 nucleotides) under Triticum aestivum (bread wheat). Its description in RNAcentral is "partial small subunit ribosomal RNA". The record is from RNAcentral. Lineage: Eukaryota; Viridiplantae; Streptophyta; Magnoliopsida; Poales; Poaceae.